This is a non-coding RNA of Acanthosepion pharaonis, 111 nucleotides long. NCBI's taxonomy places the organism in Eukaryota, Metazoa, Mollusca, Cephalopoda, Sepiida, Sepiidae. The record is from the annotation of a GenBank genome assembly.
ACGGCCACAUAACAUUGAAAUACCUGUUCCCUUAUGAUCACUGAAGUUAAGCAGCGCUGAACAUGGUCAGUACCUGGAUGGGUGACUAUUUAGAAAACCAGGUACUGUAAG